This 1705-nucleotide small RNA is filed under the name Arabidopsis thaliana (thale cress). Its description in RNAcentral is "ATSL024500". The record is from RNAcentral. Lineage: Eukaryota; Viridiplantae; Streptophyta; Magnoliopsida; Brassicales; Brassicaceae.
AUAUAUAUAUAUAUAUAUAUAUAAGUUCCAUAAUGAUUUUGGUUGAUAUAUAUUUUUUGUUAUUAAAAAAGUUCCAUAAUGACUUUGGUUGAUAUAUAUAUAUAUAUAUAUAUAUAUAUAUCUUGUUAUUAAAAAGUUCCAUUAUUCUACAACUAACAAAAUUGUAUCUAAAAUUGUAUCUCGUCGAUUGAUCACAAACUCGCAGUGGCCUCAUUUGAUAACCUCAUUUGAUAACGAGACCGAGUAUCUUUUUUUUUUAAGAAAAAUUAUCAAUUAUAUACAAUUACUAAAAAGUUUUUACAUCAUAUGUAUACUAUUACCCACUUACUAGUUCCUAAUAGUUACUAAUUUAAUCCCGCUUAAGAAGUCCUCGGCCAACUUGCAUUAAUAUUUGCUACAAAUACAUACAUGGUUAGUUGAUAGUAAUACAUACUUGUAUAGUAAUUAUUUUUAUUAGUACUUGUACUAGUAACUAUUAUUACAGAAAAUUGUAUUUGUAACUAUCACUUUUUUUAACAUCUGACUUUGUAACUAUCACUUUAUCACAUGUGAUUAUAUAAAACUAAAAUAGAUUAAACAAAACAAGUUAACAAAUAAUAAUCAAAACAUAAGCAAAAUAUAAGCAAUAUAAGAGACAAGUGAUAAAAUGUUCAAUUGUACGUUAAAAUUUGAGAUAUUAAAACAAAAAUAUGAUUAUUAAAUGUGAAUUCAACUAACUAAUAAGAUGUAACAAUACAAAAAUGAAACAACUGUUGUAUUCUAAUUAUGCCAAAUUGAGGCACGAAAACCGAUUGGAAAAUUAAACAUUUUUUUCAAUCUUGCCAUGAGAAGAGCAAUAAAAAGAGUAUCAAUGAAGUGUGUUCUACAUAGUGGUUUUAUUGCAAUGUUAUAUGGAUACCUCAUUGAUCCAGUGGAUUGGGUUCCAUGGAAUAGCGGCUUUGGACGUUUGUCUAUUUUGGAUUAUGAUGAAUGCAAAAACAAAGGCUCAUGAACAAAUACAAGCAACAUAGGGAAGUAGAUGUGGUUUUUGUGGAUCUAAAGAAAACGGCGAAUUUCACAAUAAAAACAUAUAAAUAGAGAUUUGUGGCUUGGUUCCACCGGAGUUCCGUACGAAAGUGGACUGUGAUAAUAUUGUGAACAAUAUACUAACAUAUAACAUAAGAUACUUUAAGAAAAAAUAUUUACGAAUUCUUAAGCAAAAUAUAUUUGAACAAUUUUUUCCACCAUUGAAGCCUCCGAUACAAAGUUUCGUCUUCCAUGAGAGUCUUCCAUAUCUAAUUCGUUUGAAAUACUCGUAGAUGGUGAAUAUCAUUUUUCUUGUCGAAUUAACAAAUACAGAUUCUUCAAAACCCAUACAAUCACAUGUUAUGGUAAGGUUUAAACACAUUAGGCCUUGAGGUUUAAGAUAAUACAACAUUCCAUAAAUUCAAUUUGGGCCUUGACUUUAAGAUACUACAAACCCAUUACAUCAGACAACAUCUACGAUAAAGUUAAAUCCAAAUUAUAAAGAGCAAUAUAGGAAAGAAAGACUAUGUUCUGACUACAUCUCGUAAAGUUAACAUGUCUCCAACACUCCACUCAAGUUGGAACAUAUGUAGAUUGCAAAUGCAUAACAUGUCCAAUCCAAGUUAAAAUAAGCACUGUCAUUUUUACUUUUAUGGGCCUGUGAUUGGGCCUUGUAAUGGGCUUGAAAAUUAAUAAAUGG